CAGCCGCCGCGGUAAUACAGAGGGUGCGAGCGUUAAUCGGAUUUACUGGGCGUAAAGCGUGCGUAGGCGGCUUUUUAAGUCGGAUGUGAAAUCCCUGAGCUUAACUUAGGAAUUGCAUUCGAUACUGAGAAGCUAGAGUAUGGGAGAGGAUGGUAGAAUUCCAGGUGUAGCGGUGAAAUGCGUGGAGAUCUGGAGGAAUACCGAUGGCGAAGGCAGCCAUCUGGCCUAAUACUGACGCUGAGGUACGAAAGCAUGGGGAGCAAACAGGAUUAGAGACCCCCGUAGUCCCUGUCUCUUAUAC
This 301-nucleotide ribosomal RNA is filed under the name uncultured bacterium. Its description in RNAcentral is "partial 16S ribosomal RNA". It matches the Rfam family "Bacterial small subunit ribosomal RNA", at positions 509 to 807 of the family's 1533-position model. The record is from RNAcentral.